AUUGAGACUUGUAUGAAUGGCUAAACGAGGUCUUAACUGUCUCCUGUAGGUAAUCUAUGAAAUUAGUAUUCCCGUGCAAAAACGAGAAUGUGAACAUAAGACGAGAAGACCCUGUGGAACUUUAAAAUCACGACCACCUUACAACCUUACACAGCCCCACUGGGUCCACCCACACAUAAACCCCUGGUCGACAUUUUUCGGUUGGGGCGACCUUGGAGAAAAAAAAAUCCUCCAAACCCACAGACCACAACUCUUCACUAAGACCAACUCCUCAAAGUACCAACAGUAACCAGACCCAAUAUAAUUGAGCAAUGGACCAAGCUACCCCAGGGAUAACAGCGCAAUCUCCUCCAAGAGCCCAUAUCGACAAGGAGGUUUACGACCUCGAUGUUGGAUCAGGACAACCUAAUGGUGCAACCGCUAUUAAGGGUUCGUUUGUUCAACGAUUAACAGUCCUACGUGAUCUGAGU
RNAcentral lists this ribosomal RNA (470 nucleotides) under Gallus gallus (chicken). RNAcentral's name for it is "partial large subunit ribosomal RNA". It matches the Rfam family "Bacterial large subunit ribosomal RNA", at positions 1980 to 2610 of the family's 2925-position model. Lineage: Eukaryota; Metazoa; Chordata; Aves; Galliformes; Phasianidae. The record is from RNAcentral.